GCGAGUGUGGUGAAGUGGUUAACACAUCGGUUUGUGGUACCGACAUUCGCGGGUUCGAUUCCCGUCACUCGCCCCA
This 76-nucleotide transfer RNA is filed under the name Mycoplasmatota bacterium. Its description in RNAcentral is "Tenericutes bacterium tRNA-His". It matches the Rfam family "tRNA". Rfam says of the family: Transfer RNA (tRNA) molecules are approximately 80 nucleotides in length. Lineage: Bacteria; Bacillati; Mycoplasmatota. The record is from RNAcentral.